UCAUAAACAUGAAAAGAGAGUCAUGCAAGAACAUGACCCUCAAAUGUAAGCCCCAUUUAAGGUGGCAGCUAGUCUAAUAUGGUAUAAAA
Molecule: small RNA, 89 nt
Filed under: Listeria monocytogenes serotype 4b str. LL195
Lineage: Bacteria; Bacillati; Bacillota; Bacilli; Caryophanales; Listeriaceae
Description: RNA anti-toxin A
Source: RNAcentral